RNAcentral lists this ribosomal RNA (263 nucleotides) under uncultured bacterium. RNAcentral's name for it is "partial 16S ribosomal RNA". It matches the Rfam family "Bacterial small subunit ribosomal RNA", at positions 793 to 1055 of the family's 1533-position model. The record is from RNAcentral.
GUCCACGCCGUAAACGAUGUAAACUAGCCGUUGGAAUCCUUGAGAUUUUAGUGGCGCAGCUAACGCAUUAAGUUGACCGCCUGGGGAGUACGGCCGCAAGGUUAAAACUCAAAUGAAUUGACGGGGGCCCGCACAAGCGGUGGAGCAUGUGGUUUAAUUCGAAGCAACGCGAAGAACCUUACCUGGCCUUGACAUGCUGAGAACUUUCCAGAGAUGGAUUGGUGCCUUCGGGAACUCAGACACAGGUGCUGCAUGGCUGUCGU